UACGUAGGUGGCAAGCGUUGUCCGGAAUUAUUGGGCGUAAAGAGCGCGCAGGCGGUCCUUCAAGUCAGAUGUGAAAGCCCACGGCUCAACCGUGGAGGGUCAUUUGAAACUGGGGGACUUGAGUGCAGAAGAGGAAAGCGGAAUUCCACGUGUAGCGGUGAAAUGCGUAGAGAUGUGGAGGAACACCAGUGGCGAAGGCGGCUUUCUGGUCUGUAACUGACGCUGAGGCGCGAAAGCGUGGGGAGCAAACGGG
This 253-nucleotide ribosomal RNA is filed under the name uncultured bacterium. RNAcentral's name for it is "partial 16S ribosomal RNA". It matches the Rfam family "Bacterial small subunit ribosomal RNA", at positions 524 to 776 of the family's 1533-position model. The record is from RNAcentral.